RNAcentral lists this long non-coding RNA (393 nucleotides) under Malus domestica (apple). RNAcentral describes it as "long non-coding RNA (MDOM_LNC015077)". The record is from RNAcentral. Lineage: Eukaryota; Viridiplantae; Streptophyta; Magnoliopsida; Rosales; Rosaceae.
CUGCGCGCUAAGAUGGGAGUAUACGCUAUCUUGAGGCCCAAUCGGGAGUAUACACUGCCCGAACGCUCGGUUUGUGGCUGGUCGAGUGGCUGCUUGCCAAGACACUGCAGAGAGGUUCUUUGUCUGCCUUUAUCCUACUUCGGGACACCUCGUCUGGGGCAUGUUGGAUCUCGGUACGCUGCAAGAGCUAGUUCACCAAAGUCGUCUGCUAUGUGAGGGCGUUCGUCAACUCUAUGACUUGUCGAGACAAGUGUUGUUCUCUAUUUGGGUUGGAAUAGCUUGAAAAGAAUGCGUUUCCUUGAGCAGUAGAAGUGUGGUAGACUCUGGGCGUGAGAUUUGAGUUGGGAAAUGUCAAAUCCAUAGAAAAAUAUGAUGAAAAUGCUCCCGGUUUGA